CCUCUCAUGGCGUAGUGGUAACGCGUCCCAACUAGAGAUCGGGGAGUCGUGAGUUCGAUUCUCACUGAGAGGA
Molecule: non-coding RNA, 73 nt
Organism: Aedes aegypti (yellow fever mosquito)
Lineage: Eukaryota; Metazoa; Arthropoda; Insecta; Diptera; Culicidae
Source: Rfam